Molecule: long non-coding RNA, 8374 nt
Organism: Mytilus trossulus (common blue mussel)
Lineage: Eukaryota; Metazoa; Mollusca; Bivalvia; Mytilida; Mytilidae
Exons: 5
Source: RefSeq, a predicted model, not a curated record
AGGGAAAAGUUCAACAUAUGAUGAUAACAAGGCUGCAAAACUUCAGAAAGUUCCAACUGAACCUGAGGCAGAAAAAGGAACAAAAAGAAAAUAUAAAUUAUGGACUGAAGAGAAUACUAAAGUAGUGGAUGUUUAUUUUAAGAGAUACAUUACAGAUACAUCUAGCUUGGACAACAAAGGGUCAUUGCCAGGAUCAAAAGAUGUAAGAGAGUUUCUUCAGAAGCAUCCAAUCCUUCAAGAUAUUGAAAUUAAAAAAAGGAUAACAGCCAUCAAGACAAAAAUCUUCAAUGAUAGAAAAGUUUACAGAGAAAAAAUUUCAAAGAAACUUAAGAAAAACCUCCAAAGUAUGUGAGCAUUCUGAAUAUCAUGCAUUCCAUAUAAUAGAUUGACUUGUAAUAGGCCUCUUAAUCUGUAAUCAUCCUCAUCUCUCAAACAACAGCCAGUAUCAUGUAAACUGAAUCAGAAUCAUCAUCUCUCCACCAACAGUCAGUCUUAUGUAAACUGAAUCAGCAUCAUCAUCUUUUACCAACAGCCAGUCUCAUAAUAACUGAAUCUGCAUCAACAUCUCUCCACCAACAGCCAGUCUCAUGUAAACUGAAUCAGCAUCAUCAUCUCUCCACCAACAGCCAGUCUUAUGUAAACUGAAUCAACAUCUCUCCACCAACAGCCAGUCUUAUGUAAACUGAAUCGGCAUCAACAUCUCUCCACCAACAGCCAGUCUCAUAACAUCUCUCAACCAACAGCCAGUCUAAUGUAAACUGAUUCGGCAUCAACAUCUCUCCAUCAACAGCCAGUCUUAUGUUAACUGAAUCGGCAUCAACAUCUAUCCACCAACAGCCAGUCUUAUGUAAACUGAAUCAGCAUCAUCAUCUAUCCACCAACAGCCAGUCUUAUGUAAACUGAAUCAGCAUCAUCAUCUAUCCACCAACAGCCAGUCUUAUGUAAACUGAAUCAACAUCUCUCCACCAACAGCCAGUCUUAUGUAAACUGAAUCGGCAUCAACAUCUCUCCACCAACAGCCAGUCUCAUAACAUCUCUCAACCAACAGCCAGUCUAAUGUAAACUGAUUCGGCAUCAACAUCUCUCCAUCAACAGCCAGUCUUAUGUUAACUGAAUCGGCAUCAACAUCUAUCCACCAACAGCCAGUCUUAUGUAAACUGAAUCAGCAUCAUCAUCUAUCCACCAACAGCCAGUCUUAUGUAAACUGAAUCAGCAUCAUCAUCUAUCCACCAACAGCCAGUCUUAUGUAAACUGAAUCAGCAUCAACAUCUAUCCACCAACAGCCAGUCUUAUGUAAACUGAAUCAGCAUCAUCAUCUCUCCACCAACAGCCAGUCUUAUGUAACGUGAAUCGGUAUUCUCAUCUCUCCACCAACAGCCAGUCUUAUGUUAACUGAAUCGGCAUUCUCAUCUCUCCACCAACAGCCAGUCUUAUGUUAACUGAAUCGGCAUUCUCAUCUCUCCACCAACAGCCAGUCUUAUGUAAACUGAAUCGGCAUCAACAUCUCUCCACCAACAGUCAGUCUUAUGUUAACUGAAUCAGCAUCAUCAUCUCUCCACCAACAGCCAGUCUUAUGUUAACUGAAUCAGCAUCAACAUCUCUCCACCAACAGUCAGUCUUAUGUAAACUGAAUCGGCAUCAACAUCUCUCCACCAACAGCCAGUCUCAUGUAAACUGAAUCAGCAUCAUCAUCUAUCCACCAACAGCCAGUCUUAUGUAAACUGAAUCGGCAUUCUCAUCUCUCCACCAACAGCCAGUCUUAUGUAAACUGAAUCGGAAUCAUCAUCUCUCCGCCAACAGCCAGUCUUAUGUAAACUGAAUCGGCAUCAACAUCUCUCCACCAACAGCCAGUCUUAUGUAAACUGAAUCUGCAUCCUCAUCUUUCCACCAACAGCCAGUCUUAUGUUAACUGAAUCGGAAUCAUCAUCUAUCUACCAACAGCCAGUCUUAUGUCAACUGAAUCAGCAUCAUCAUCUAUGUAAACUGAAUCAGCAUUCUCAUCUCUCCACCAACAGUCAGUCUCAAGUAAACUGAAUCGGCAUCAACAUCUCUCCACCAACAGCCAGUCUUAUGUUUACUGAAACAGCAUCCUCAUCUCUCCACCAACAGCCAGUCUUAUGUAAACUGAAUCGGCAUCAACAUCUCUCCACCAACAGCCAGUCUUAUGUAAACUGAAUCUGCAUCCUCAUCUUUCCACCAACAGCCAGUCUUAUGUUAACUGAAUCGGAAUCAUCAUCUAUCUACCAACAGCCAGUCUUAUGUUAACUGAAUCAGCAUCAUCAUCUAUGUAAACUGAAUCAGCAUUCUCAUCUCUCAACCAACAGUCAGUCUUAUGUAAACUGAAUCGGCAUCAACAUCUCUCCACCAACAGCCAGUCUUAUGUUAACUGAAUCAGCAUCAACAUCUCUCCACCAACAGCCAGUCUUAUGUUAACUGAAUCGGCAUCAACAUCUCUCCACCAACAGCCAGUCUUAUGUUAACUGAAUCGGCAUUCUCAUCUCUCAACCAACAGCCAGUUUUAUGUUAACUGAAUCGGAAUCAACAUCUCUCCACCGACAGCCAGUCUUAUGUUAACUGAAUCGGCAUCAACAUCUCUCCACCAACAGCCAGUCUUAUGUUAACUGAAUCGGCAUUCUCAUCUCUCCACCAACAGCCAGUCUUAUGUAAACUGAAUCAGCAUUCUCAUCUCUCCACCAACAGCCAGUCUUAUGUUUACUGAAUCGCAUCAACAUCUAUCCACCAACAGCCAGUCUCGUGUAAACUGAAUCAGCAUUCUCAUCUCUCCACCAACAGCCAGUCUUAUGUUAACUGAAUCGGCAUCAACAUCUCUCCACCAUCAGCCAGUCUUAUGUUAACUGAAUCGGCAUCAUCAUCUCUUUACCAACAGUUAGUCUUAUGUAAACUGAAUCGGCAUCAACAUCUCUCCACCAACAGCCAGUCUUAUGUAAACUGAAUCAGCAUUCUCAUCUCUCCACCAACAGCCAGUCUUAUGUUAACUGAAUCGGCAUCAACAUCUAUCCACCAACAGCCAGUCUCAUGUAAACUGAAUCAGCAUUCUCAUCUCUCCACCAACAGCCAGUCUUAUGUUAACUGAAUCGGCAUCAUCAUCUCUUUACCAACAGUUAGUCUUAUGUAAACUGAAUCGGCAUCAACAUCUCUCCACCAACAGCCAGUCUUAUGUAAACUGAAUCGGCAUCAUCAUCUCCCCACCAACAGCCGGUCUUGUGUUAACUGAAUCGGCAUCAACAUCUCUCUACCAACAGCCAGUAUCAUGUUAACUGAAUCAGCAUUCUCAUCUCUCCACCAACAGCCAGUCUUAUGUUAACUAAAUCGGCAUCAACAUCUCUCCACCAACAGCCAGUCUUAUGUAAACUGAAACAGCAUCCUCAUAUCUCCAUCAACAGCCAGUCUUAUUUUAACUGAAUCGGCAUCAACAUCUCUCUACCAACAGCCAGUCUGAUUUUAACUGAAUCCUCAUCAACAUCUCUCCACCAACAGCCAGUCUUAUGUAAACUGAAUCGGCAUCAAUAUCCCACCACCAACAGCGAGUCUUAUGUAAACUGAAUCGGAAUCAUCAUCUCUCCAUCAACAGCCAGUCUCAUUUUAACUGAAUCAGCACCAUCAUCUCCACUAACAGCCACUCUUAUGUAAACUGAAUCAGCAUCAUCACUCUCCACCAACAGCCAGUCUUAUGUAAACUGAAUCAGCAUCAUCAUCUAUCCACAAACAGCCAGUCUUAUGUAAACGGAUUCGGCAUUUUCAUCUCUCCACCAACAGCCAGUCUUAUGUAAACUGAAUCGGCAUCAUCUUCUCUCGUCCAACAGCCGGUGUUAUGUAAAUUGAAUCAGCAUCAUCAUUUCUCCACCAACAGACAGUCUUCUGUAAACUCAAUUGGCACAACAUCUCUCAACCAACCUGCUGGCUUAUUAUCCUCAUCUCACAACCAACAAACAGUCUGGCAUACACUGAAUAAGCAUCAUCUUCUUUCACCCAAUCAUGAGCCUAGUGUGUACUGAAUAAUCAUCUCUCUACCAACAAACAGUCUGGCGUAUAUUGAAUUAGCAUCAUCAUCUCCUAAGCAACAAACGGUCUGGCAUAUUUUGAAUAAGCAUCAUCAUAUCUCAGCCAAAAAACGGUCUGGCAUAUCUUGAGCUAGCAUAAUCAUCUUUCUACCAGCAAACAUUCUGGCAUAUACACUGAAUGAGCAUCGUCAUCUCUCUACCAAGAAACAGUCUGGCAUAUACUGAAUAAGGAAUAUCAUCUCUCAACCAACGAACAUCCUAGUUGUACUGCACUACCAUCCUCAUCUCUAAACCAACAGUCUGGCAGUAACUGAAUCAGCAUCACCAUCUCUCUACCAACAAACAGUCUAGCAUAUACUGAAUAAGCAUCAUCAUAUAUUAAGGAACAAACAGUAUAGCAUAUCCUGAAUUACCAUCAUCAUCUCUCGACCAACCAACAGUCUAGCAUAUACUGAAUAAGCAUCAUCAUAUAUCAAGGAACAAACAGUAUGGCAUAUCCUGAAUUAUAAUCAUCAUCUCUCUACCAACUAACAGACUAGCAUAUACUGAAUUAUCAUCAGUAUCUCUCAACAAACAACAGUCUGGAAUAUACUGAAUAAGCAUCAGCAUCUCUCAACCAACAAAAACUCUGGCAUAUACUGAAUUACCAUCAUCAUCUCUCAACAAACAACAGUCUGGCAUAUACUAAGUUAGUAUCAUUAUCUCUCAACAAACAACAGUCUGGCAUAUACUGAAUUAGCAUCAUCAUCUCUCAACAAACAACAGUCUGGCAUAUACUGAAUUAGCAUCAUCAUCUCUCAACCAACAAACAGCAUUGUAUGUACUGAAUUAGCAUCCUCAUCUUUAAACCAACUAGCAGUCUGGCAUAUAUUGAACUAGCAUCGUCAUAAUCCUACAAACAAACAGUCUGGCAUAUACUGAAUUAGCAUAAUCAUCUCUCUACAAACAAGACAGUCUGGCUUCUACUGAAUUACCAUUCUCAACUCUCAGGCAACAAACAGUCUAGCAUAUACUGAAUAAGCACCAUUAUCUUUCAACCAACAACCAGUAUGGCAUACACUGAAUAAGCAUCAUUAUCUUUCAACCAACAAACAGUUUGGCAUAAAUUGAAUAAGGAACAUCAUCUCUUAACCAACAAACAGUCUGGCAUAUAUUCCAUUAGCAUUAUUUUCAGUCUGGGAUGUACUAAAAUGACAAUCCUCAUGUCUCAACCAACAAACAGUCUUAUACUGAAUAACCAUCAUCAUGUUUCAACAAAUAAAACGUUUGGCAUAUACUGAAUUAGCAACAUCAUCCUUCAACCAACAGUCUGGCAUAAACUGAAGAAACGGCAUCAUCUUUCAACCAACAAACAGUCUGGUAUAUACUGAAUAAGCAUCAUAAUCUCUCAACCAACAGACUGUCUGGCAUAUAUUGAUUCAGCAUCAUCAUCUUUCUACCAACAAACAGUCUGGCUUAUACUGAAUUACAAUUUCAUCUCUCAACCAACAAACAGUCUGGCAUAUACCUAAUUAGCAUCAUCAUCUUUCAACCAACAACAGUCUUGCAUAUAUACUGAAUAAGCAUCAUACUCUUUCAACCACCGAGAAGUCUGGCUUAUACCGAAUUAGCAUUAUCAUCUGUUAACAAACAAACACUCUGGCUUAUACUGAAUUAGCAUAAUCAUCUCUCUACCAACAAACAGCCUGGCUUAUACUGAAUUAGCAUCAUUUUCUCUCAACAUACAAUAGUCUGGCAUAUACUGAAUUAGCAUCAUCAUCUCUCAACUAACAAACAGCAUAGUGUGUACUGAAUAAGCAUCUUCAACACUAAACCAACUAGCAGUCUGGCAUAUAUUGAACAAGCCUCGUCAUCUCUCUACCAACAAACAGUCUGGCAUAUACUGAAAUAGCAAAAUCAUCUCUAAACCAACAAACAGUCUGGCAUAUACUGAAUUAGUAUCAUCUUUCAACCAACAAACAGUCUGGCAUAUACUGAAUAAGCAUCAUCAUCUUUCAACCAACAAACAGUCUGGCAUAUACCUAAUUAGCAUCAUCAUCUUUCAACCAACAAACAGUUUGGCAUAUACCUAAUUAGCAUCAUCAUCUUUCAACCAACAAACAGUCUGGCAUAAACUAAACAAGUAACAUUAUCUCUUAACCAACAAACAGUCUGGCAUAUAUUCCAUUAGCAUUAUCUUCUAUACCAACAAACAGUCUGGGAUGUACUUAAUGACAAUCCUCAUGUCUCAACCAACAAACAGUCUGGUAUAUAUAAAUUCAGCAUCUUCAUCUCUCAACCAACAAACAAUCUGGUACAUACUGAAUUAACAUCAGCAUCUCUUUACGAACAAACAGUCUGGCACAUACCGAAUUACCAGCCUGGUGGGUACUGAACCAACAUCAUGAUCUCUUAAGCUAAAAACAGCCUAAUGUGUACUGAACUAGCAUCAUCAUGUCUCCACCUACUGACAGCAUGGUGUGAUUUGAAUCAACAUUAGCACAUCUCAUUAUUAGACAUACUUGUGUGAACUGAGUCAGCCUUCUCAUCUCUCCAUGACAGAUAACCAUGUUUAAAUUUCAUCAGCAGCAUCAUCUCUCAGCCAACAGACAAUCUAGUAUCGACUUAGAUAAGCCUACACAUCUCUCCACCAACAGACAGCCUGGUCUAAACUGGAACAGCCUUUUAAUCUAAAAACUAACAGCCAGCCUGGACUGUACAGAAUCAGCAUCCUCAUCGCUCCAUUUACAGAUAGUCUGGUGUGUACUGAUACAGACCUCCAUAUCUCGUGAUCAACAGAUAUCAUGGUUUGUACUGAAACAGAUUUUCAUCUAUCAACCAACAAACAACCUGGUGUGUUAUUAAUCAGCAUCAUCAUCCCUCCACCAACAGAAAAACAGCUGAGGCCAACAAGAAUUGACUUUUAGGAAUGAUGUUUGUGCCAUAUGAUAAGUAACAACUACUUAAGUUUAUUUUUCCUACACUUUUAGUUGUGACCUGCAGCAGAUAUUUUAGUCAUUAUUUCACCAUUGUAAAGCCCUGCAGCUGAAGAGUCUCAGAAAAUGCUAAGUAUGUUACUGCUUUACCAUAGCUUAUAAUAUAUAUGAUUAAAGGUUUACCACAGCUUAUAUAAAAUUUUGUUUAAAGGUACUAUAAAUGUUGGCGUAAAAUGCAAGUUUUGUUUUAAUUAGCUUUAAGGAUUAUAGUUAAAAUAGUACAUACAAAAAACUUGAAACCCUAUUUUUAUAUGACCAUAAAUUUUUGCGGUCUUGCUGCUGUUCAACAUUAUCGGCCACAAAUAUAGUUUCCUGACUAAAACUGAAGUAUUUGCUCAAUUGUUAAUAAUUUUAACUUAAGGAGGCUUGCGGGUAAAAGAUUUUCAAAAAAAAAAAUAAACAUUAAUUUUUCAAUACAAAUUUUAUUUAUAACCUUUAAUAGUUAUAACUUUAUCAUUUGGUACAAAAAUCGUUCCAAAAAAUCAAUUUGUGUUGACCCCAGAUGACUUUUAAAAUGUAGAUAUCAUGUUAAAAGCUCCAAAUUAUCUCCCUUUGGUGCAAAAAUGCCAUUUUUUGGCAUUAAAAUUGAAAUAUCUUUUUUAACUUAUCGGUGACCUAUAUUUUUUAUUGUUGUUUUCAAAUAAGCUGUACAUAAACUAAAUAAUUGUUAAAUUUGAGCGAUUUCUGUAAUUCAGUUCUUUUUUGAUUUCGAUAUUACCGUUUUUUCUCCUAUUAGUUCAACGGAAAAAAAGGACAUCAACAAAAAUGUUUGCUUCUUUCGAAGGCAGAUUGUGAGCGUAAAUGAACGGUGACCCCAUUUUUUUAUUUCAUUUUUCUAUUAAGUAUAAGAUAAAGUUCAUUUAUAGAAAAAUAAAGAGAAAUCCUAUAUUAAAUAAAAAAAAUCAUUUAGACCCGCGAGCCCCCUUAACGUUAAUGAAUGUGUGUAUCGUGAGUUUCUCUCACUGACAACACUGGAUAAUAGCUAAGUGCUAUAUGCUAAUGACUAAAAAAUUAACCUUGUUAAACUUAUAUUUUGUGACUUCAAUAACUUGUAUUUAAAAGGGAAGUUACAAACAUAUGUUAAAUAAAAAUAUAGAUUCUAUAUCAAUGAAACUGAAUUAAUCACGGAAUGUAAAAUAUAUUUCUGUUUGAUUUUGGUUUUAUUAUCUCAAGAUGAUAUGCUAAUGACUAAAAAAUUAACCUUGUUAAACUUAUAUUUUGUGACUUCAAUAACUUGUAUUUAAAAGGGAAUUACAAACAUAUGUUAAAUAAAAAUAUAGAUUCUAUAUCAAUGAAACUGAAUUAAUCACGGAAUGUAAAAUAUAUUUCUGUUUGAUUUUGGUUUUAUUAUCUCAAGAUGAUCUAGGCUUCACCCCC